CAGUUUUCAUGCUACCAAUGCCUUACUCGAGUAGCAUGGGGGACAAUACGUUACCAUGAACCAGCCCUCAAUUUUAUGGGCUGGAACUUUCCAAGAUUAUCCGCUUGUUGGGCUACAGUUGAUGCUUUCUUUGUAUAAUAACAAACCAAAUGGGAUACUGGCAGAUGCUUGGCAAGAUUGCACAGGUCAUGGCAUUGAUAGCUUAUUUAAUGGGAGUUGAAGGGGAAUUGUGGAGCCCAUCUUAUACUUGUUCGCAGUGCUGUUAUGGUUAAUUGGAAGGUGCUAUUAUGCUACCUUGCUUCUGCUUUUGUAAGUGAGUUCUAAGCUAUUAAACAAGAAUGCGUGAGUCCUGCUCAAAGAAGGAAGUUGUUGCUACACAGAUUCCAAGAGAAGAAUUUGAAAAUAUAACUUUUGGAGAGAAUGGAAUGCAAAAUUAGAAGAGCACAAGCUUGAAAAAGUGGUUCACACAGCAUUUGCGGCCCACCAGAUGCCUAGACUGCCCUAAUUUUCAGGCCAUGGGACACCACCUGAACUUCCUGGAUCUUACAUAGCAUGGGAGAAUGAUUUGAAAUCCUACUCAUGUGUUGGCAUUGGAUUUACUUAAGCUCUCCUUCUAUGAUGACUUUCUUAAAUUUAUUUAUUAGUGUAUGUAUGCAGUGGGCCCCAUAGUGGCGAGGCCCCACCACUGACGUGAUCUCUCUCUCUCUCUCUCUCUCUCUCUCUCUCUGUUUCAAUCCUUGCCCAUCUCUUUCUCUAAAAUAUAGGGCCCACAAAGUGGGCCAUGAUGAGAGACAACAUGCACCCCACCUUGUGGGGUCCACCAUGAAUUUUUAUAUCAUCUGACCUAUUUAUUAGGUGACUCAGAUUUGGAAGAAGAGAAAGUACAUAUGUCAACAUGAUCAAGAACUUCUGUGGGCCCACAUCGUGGGGGCCACCAUAAUGUUAUUUGUUAUUGUUCCCAGAUACCUGGAUGAAUAGAAAACAUAGAUAUCAACUUGGUUCUCAAAUUCUGUGGGCCCCAAAUUUUGUCAAAAAACUGUGGGAUC
Magnolia sinica is the source of this 1046-nucleotide long non-coding RNA. RefSeq lists it as uncharacterized. Lineage: Eukaryota; Viridiplantae; Streptophyta; Magnoliopsida; Magnoliales; Magnoliaceae. The record is from RefSeq and is a predicted model, not a curated record. The transcript has 6 exons.